RNAcentral lists this long non-coding RNA (966 nucleotides) under Homo sapiens (human). RNAcentral describes it as "HSALNT0386296". Lineage: Eukaryota; Metazoa; Chordata; Mammalia; Primates; Hominidae. The record is from RNAcentral.
GUGUUUAAUAUAUUGAUUUAGACAUGAAGACAGGUUGGGAUGUCAUGAGCUUGGAAUCUUGAAAUCUUGAAAAUUCUGGAAUGUUUUCUCAAAACAAUUUACAUUAGAAUUAGCUGGGGUGCUUGUUAAAAAUUCAGUUAUCCAUCUUACUUUUACCAACUCAGAUUCUUCAGCCAUUUGCAUUGAUAGCCACUCCCCAGCAUCUGCUCCCUCAAAGGUGAAAACCAGAAAUUGGCAGUAGAUGAUAUGCAACUAUUAAAUAUAAUGUGAAGCUUUAGUCUCAAUAGGUUUGGACAAAUAAUAAAUGAAAGUAAUUUUCAAAACUGAAGGGAAGUAAUACCAAGAAAGUCAGCAGAGUGAAAAGAACACUGGAUAGAAUGAAGAGACAAGACUCUUAGUCUCUGGCCAACUUUGGGAGACUUAAUUCACUUUCCAGGCCUCAGUUUCCUCAAUCAAGAAAUUGGAUUUUAGGCAUCUUUUAUCCGUAAUUCUAAAUCCGAGUUGCGAGGACAGAGAACCUGGAGGACUGACACUGGGAAGAUUACAGAAGGCAGAGCUCCAGAGGGCAAAGCAAGAAAAUGUUACAAAUCUAUUUAUUCAGUCCUUGAAUCUGAGUAUAUCUGUUCCACUAUCAAAAUGGUUCCCUUUACUUUUUUCUUCCCUUUAAGUCAAGCAUGAAUUUUUCAUAUUUCGUAUAGUGUUUGCUUUAGAAAUAUAACACCUUGUAAACGUAACAAGCCAAUAGUAUGAAAAGACUAUGGAUUGACUUUGAUUUUCCCACUUAGAAGUGACACCACUCCUAGAUAUACUGGAAUAUUUUUUUAGCCCGUCAUGAAAGGUUUCUGCAGAUAGCCCUGUAUCCUUUUCAGCACAGCAGGCAGAUAAUGGCUCCUAAUCAUCACCCAAUUGAUUUUGACAAUAUUUCUUUGUGGGUGAAUAGGAUGAGUGGGGAACAUCCCAGGGGGC